AAUCAAGGUUUAGCCGAAACAAAAAACAGAAUUGAGUAAAUCAGGCUUAUUUCUCUAUGAAAUUGAAGGACUGAUCAUUAAUAACCUUAUAGCCAUCAAGUUCAAAGCACACAUGCGUUUUGUAGAUUAAAAUCCUUAAAAUGGUUCAGUGGACAAAAAAAAAAAAAAGGAAAACAAAGAAACUUGUAUACUAAUAAUAUAGUGGGCAUAUAAUCUUACCAAAGAAUGCAUAGGUGUUGUUUUUGAGCUAACGCAUGUCCCAAGUAUGAGAACUGAUUGUAAAAUCAUACUGCAAAGUACAGUAAUUGUCUAAAACAGAUCACUCAAAUCAAAUAAACACAAGUACAACAUAUAAAGUAGUUUCGACAGACAUAGCACUUUGUAAAUAUUAAGCACACAGCCGAAACAUUAUUUGCAUAUAUAUAACUCUCUUUUAUCCAUUUUUCUCUUCUUUCCCUCAAGCGAUCACCUGCGCACGCUUCCUUCCUUUCUUCCUGUCGUCCUUCCUUUCCUUCUGUGCAUGCUAGAGGGUACUGCUGUACUAGCAGUGAGGAGGUGGAGGAUGGUGAUGAUGCCAAGGCGGAGGUGGCCAAUGAGGAUCGAAACAAGGUGGUGGAGGAAGACAAGGAGGAGGAGGUGGAGGAUGAUGCAGAUGUGCAAAAGGUGGAGGAUGGUGGUAAUGAUGAUGGUGAAAUGGUGGAGGUGGAGGUGGAGGAUGGUGGUGAUGGUGAAAUGGAGGAGGGAGUGGUGGCGGUGGACAGUGGCAGUGUAAUGGUGGACAGUGACAAUGUGGUGGUGGGGGAAGGGGUGGUGCACAAGGCUCUGGUGGUGGGGGUGGAGGCAUUUUUAGUUUGCUGAAACUUAGUUACGAGGAGUAUUAGAUGGAAGAAGAU
Molecule: long non-coding RNA, 893 nt
Filed under: Ricinus communis (castor bean)
Lineage: Eukaryota; Viridiplantae; Streptophyta; Magnoliopsida; Malpighiales; Euphorbiaceae
Description: long non-coding RNA (RCOM_LNC002276)
Source: RNAcentral